RNAcentral lists this ribosomal RNA (254 nucleotides) under uncultured bacterium. RNAcentral's name for it is "partial 16S ribosomal RNA". It matches the Rfam family "Bacterial small subunit ribosomal RNA", at positions 524 to 776 of the family's 1533-position model. The record is from RNAcentral.
GACGUAGGGCGCAAGCGUUGUCCGGAAUUAUUGGGCGUAAAGAGCUCGUAGGCGGUUCGGUAAGUCGGGUGUGAAAACUCUGGGCUCAACCCAGAGCCGCCACCCGAUACUGCUGUGACUUGAGUUCGGUAGGGGAGCGGGGAAUUCCUGGUGUAGCGGUGAAAUGCGCAGAUAUCAGGAGGAACACCAGUGGCGAAGGCGCCGCUCUGGGCCGAGACUGACGCUGAGGAGCGAAAGCGUGGGUAGCAAACAGG